RNAcentral lists this transfer RNA (77 nucleotides) under Peptococcaceae bacterium. RNAcentral describes it as "tRNA-Arg". It matches the Rfam family "tRNA". From Rfam's summary of the family: Transfer RNA (tRNA) molecules are approximately 80 nucleotides in length. Their secondary structure includes four short double-helical elements and three loops (D, anti-codon, and T loops). Further hydrogen bonds mediate the characteristic L-shaped molecular structure. tRNAs have two regions of fundamental functional importance: the anti-codon, which is responsible for specific mRNA codon recognition, and the 3' end, to which the tRNAs corresponding amino acid is attached (by aminoacyl-tRNA synthetases). tRNAs cope with the degeneracy of the genetic code in two manners: having more than one tRNA (with a specific anti-codon) for a particular amino acid; and 'wobble' base-pairing, i.e. permitting non-standard base-pairing at the 3rd anti-codon position. RNAcentral also lists the same sequence under 2 other names. Lineage: Bacteria; Bacillati; Bacillota; Clostridia; Eubacteriales; Peptococcaceae. The record is from RNAcentral.
GUGCUACUAGCUCAGCUGGAUAGAGCGUCUGGCUACGGACCAGAAGGUCGGGGGUUCGAAUCCCUCGUAGCACGCCA